GCCAGUGUAGCUCAAUCGGUAGAGCAGGGUCCUUGUAAGGCCAAGGUUGGGGGUUCAAGUCCCCCCGCUGGCUCCA
Molecule: transfer RNA, 76 nt
Filed under: Bacillota bacterium
Lineage: Bacteria; Bacillati; Bacillota
Description: tRNA-Thr
Rfam family: tRNA
About the family: Transfer RNA (tRNA) molecules are approximately 80 nucleotides in length. Their secondary structure includes four short double-helical elements and three loops (D, anti-codon, and T loops).
Source: RNAcentral